GUGGGGAAUUUUGGACAAUGGGCGCAAGCCUGAUCCAGCAAUGCCGCGUGCAGGAAGAAGGCCUUCGGGUUGUAAACUGCUUUUGUACGGAACGAAAAGGCUCUGGUUAAUACCUGGGGCUCAUGACGGUACCGUAAGAAUAAGCACCGGCUAACUACGUGCCAGCAGCCGCGGUAAUACGUAGGGUGCAAGCGUUAAUCGGAAUUACUGGGCGUAAAGCGUGCGCAGGCGGUUUUGUAAGACAGAGGUGAAAUCCCCGGGCUCAACCUGGGAAUUGCCUUUGUGACUGCAAGGCUGGAGUGCGGCAGAGGGGGAUGGAAUUCCGCGUGUAGCAGUGAAAUGCGUAGAUAUGCGGAGGAACACCGAUGGCGAAGGCAAUCCCCUGGGCCUGCACUGACGCUCAUGCACGAAAGCGUGGGGAGCAAACAGGAUUAGAUACCCUAGUAGUCC
RNAcentral lists this ribosomal RNA (450 nucleotides) under uncultured bacterium. RNAcentral's name for it is "partial 16S ribosomal RNA". It matches the Rfam family "Bacterial small subunit ribosomal RNA", at positions 354 to 796 of the family's 1533-position model. The record is from RNAcentral.